CAAAACUAGCUUGGUUGUGAUAGGCUGAAUAAGUGGGGCUUACAAACCAUUCACCUUUACUUUCAGAGAAUUGUAUUUUCUCUUACUGACUUGUCUUUUGCUCUUUUUUUUUCUCAUAAGUUUUCUUUAUGCAAUAGUGAGAGUGUGAGUAGGCUACUCCAUAUUCUCUCCUCUCUCUCUGGAUUUUGUACAACACAUGUGGAAUUACAGCCUGAUUACCAAGGCUUUUAAGGUCAGCAGACAUGGACCUCAAUGCUGAGAAUUAACCUGG
Molecule: long non-coding RNA, 271 nt
Filed under: Danio rerio (zebrafish)
Lineage: Eukaryota; Metazoa; Chordata; Actinopteri; Cypriniformes; Danionidae
Description: lncRNA si:dkey-199k11.8 (ENSDARG00000101731.2)
Source: RNAcentral